This 406-nucleotide ribosomal RNA is filed under the name uncultured bacterium. Its description in RNAcentral is "partial 16S ribosomal RNA". It matches the Rfam family "Bacterial small subunit ribosomal RNA", at positions 29 to 526 of the family's 1533-position model. The record is from RNAcentral.
AUUGAACGCUGGCGGCAGGCCUAACACAUGCAAGUCGAACGAGUGGCGGACGGGUGAGUAAUGUCUGGGAAACUGCCCGAUGGAGGGGGAUAACUACUGGAAAAGGUAGCUAAUACCGCAUACCAUCGGAUGUGCCCAGAUGGGAUUAGCUUGUAGGUGAGGUAACGGCUCACCUAGUCUACGAUCCCUAGCCGGUGUGAGCGGAUGACAAGAAAGACGGGGAAUGAGACAAGGUCCAGAGUCUUAUGGGAGGCAGCAGUGGGGAAUAGUGCACAAGGGGCGCAAGCCUGAGGCAGCCAUGCCGCGUGAAUGAAGAAGGCCGUCGGGUUGUAAAGUACUUUUGGCGGGGAGGCGUUGCCCGCAGAAGAAGCAACGGCUAACUCCGUGCCAGCAGCCGCGGUAAUAC